AGCAGCCGCGGUAAUUCCAGCUCCAAUAGCGUAUAUUAAAGUUGUUGCAGUUAAAAAGCUCGUAGUUGAAUUUCGGGACUAAUAUGUUGGUCGUGCCUCGGUACGCACUGAUAUUUUUGGUUUCUCCCUUCUGACGAACCUUGAUGUCAUUAAUUUGGUGUCUUGGGAAAUCAGGACUGUUACUUUGAAAAAAUUAGAGUGUUUAAAGCAGGCUCACGCUUGAAUACAUUAGCAUGGAACAAUGAAAUAGGACGUUUGAUUCUAUUUUGUUGGUUUCUAGGAUUGACGUAAUGAUUAAUAGGGAUAGUUGGGGGCAUUAGUAUUCAAUUGUCAGAGGUGAAAUUCUUGGAUUUAUUGAAGACUAACUACUGCGAAAGCAUUUGCCAAGGAUGUUUUCAUUAAUCAAGAACGAAAGUUAGGGGAUCGAAGACGAUCAGAUACCGUCGUAGUCUUAACCAUAAACUAUGCCGACUAGGGAUCGGAUGAUGUUAAUUUUUUAAUGACUCAUUCGGCGCCUUGC
RNAcentral lists this ribosomal RNA (520 nucleotides) under uncultured Glomus. RNAcentral describes it as "SSU rRNA". It matches the Rfam family "Eukaryotic small subunit ribosomal RNA", at positions 569 to 1091 of the family's 1831-position model. Lineage: Eukaryota; Fungi; Glomeromycota; Glomeromycetes; Glomerales; Glomeraceae. The record is from RNAcentral.